This is a long non-coding RNA of Oncorhynchus mykiss (rainbow trout), 2157 nucleotides long. The record is from Ensembl. Lineage: Eukaryota; Metazoa; Chordata; Actinopteri; Salmoniformes; Salmonidae.
AUGUCUCCUCUUCCUCCUCUCUAUCUCUCCUCCUCCUCCUCCUUGUCCUCUCCAUCUCCUUCAUCUCUCCUCUUCAACCUCUCUAUCUCUCCUCUUCCUCCUCCUUGUCCUCUCCAUCUCUCCUUCAUCUCUCCUCUUCCUCCUCCUUGUCCUCUCCAUCUCUCCUCUUCCUCCUCCUUGUCCUCUCUAUCUCUCCUCUUCCUCCUCCUUGUCCUCUCCAUCUCACCUUCACCUCUCCUCUUCCUCCUCUCUAUCUCUCCUCUUCCUCCUCCUUGUCCUCUCCAUCUCUCCUUCAUCUCUCCUCUUAAUCUCUCCUUCAUCUCUCCUCUUCAACCUCUCUAUCUCUCCUCUUCCUCCUCCUUGUCCUCUCCAUCUCUCCUUCAUCUCUCCUCUUCCUCCUCCUUGUCCUCUCCAUCUCUCCUCUUCCUCCUCCUUGUCCUCUCCAUCUCUCCUUCAUCUCUCCUCUUCCUCCUCUCUAUCUCUCCUCUUCCUCCUCCUUGUCCUCUCCAUCUCUCCUCUUCCUCCUCCUUGACAUCUCCAUCUCUCCUCUUCCUCUCUAUCCCUCCUCUUUCUACUCCUUGUCCUCUCCAUCUCUCCUCUUCUCUAUCUCUCCUCUUCCUCCUCCUUGUCCUCUCCAUCUCUCCUCCAUCCUUCUCCUUGUCCUCUCAUCUCUCCUCUUCCUCCUCCUUGUCCUCUCCAUCCUUCUCCUUGUCCUCUCCAUCUCUCCUCUUCCUCCUCUCUAUCUCUCCUCUUCCUCCUCCUUGUCCUCUCCAUCUCUCCUCCAUCCUCCUCCUUGUCCUCUCAUCUCUCCUCUUCCUCCUCCUUGUCCUCUCCAUCUCUCCUCUUCCUCCUCCUUGUCCUCUCCAUCUCUCCUCUUCCUCCUCCUUGUCCUCUCCAUCUCUCCUCUUCCUCCUCCUUGUCCUCUCCAUCUCUCCUCUUCCUCCUCCUUGUCCUCUCAUCUCUCCUCUUCCUCCUCCUUGUCCUCUCCAUCUCUCCUCCAUCCUUCUCCUUGUCCUCUCCAUCUCUCCUCUUCCUCCUCUCUAUCUCUCCUCUUCCUCCUCCUUGUCCUCUCCAUCUCUCCUCCAUCCUCCUCCUUGUCCUCUCAUCUCUCCUCUUCCUCCUCCUUGUCCUCUCCAUCUCUCCUCCAUCCUCCUCCUUGUCCUCUCCAUCUCUCCUCCAUCCUCCUCCUUGUCCUCUCCAUCUCUCCUCUUCCUCCUCCUUGUCCUCUCCAUCUCUCCUCUUCCUCCUCCUUGUCCUCUCCAUCUCUCCUCUUCCUCCUCCUUGUCCUCUCCAUCUCUCCUCUUCCUCCUCCUUGUCCUCUCAUCUCUCCUCUUCCUCCUCCUUGUCCUCUCCAUCUCUCCUCCAUCAUUCUCCUUGUCCUCUCCAUCUCUCCUCUUCCUCCUCUCUAUCUCUCCUCUUCCUCCUCCUUGUCCUCUCCAUCUCUCCUCCAUCCUCCUCCUUGUCCUCUCAUCUCUCCUCUUCCUCCUCCUUGUCCUCUCCAUCUCUCCUCUUCCUCCUCCUUGUCCUCUCCACCUCUCCUCUUCCUCCUCCUUGUCCUCUCCAUCUCUCCUCUUCCUCCUCCUUGUCCUCUCCAUCUCUCCUCCAUCCUCCUCCUUGUCCUCUCCAUCUCUCCUCCAUCCUCCUCCUUGUCCUCUCCAUCUCUCCUCUUCCUCCUCCUUGUCCUCUCCAUCUCUCCUCUUCCUCCUCCUUGUCCUCUCCAUCUCUCCUAUUCCUCCUCCUUGUCCUCUCCAUCUCUCCUCUUCCUCCUCCUUGUCCUCUCCAUCUCUCCUCCAUCCUCCUCCUUGUCCUCUCCAUCUCUCCUCCAUCCUCCUCCUUGUCCUCUCCAUCUCUCCUCUUCCUCCUCCUUGUCCUCUCCAUCUCUCCUCUUCCUCCUCCUUGUCCUCUCAUCUCUCCUCUUCCUCCUCCUUGUCCUCUCCAUCUCUACUUCAUCUAUACUCUUCCUCGUCUCCACCUCGCCUCUUCACCCUGACUUAUGAUGACAGCUGUAAAGGGAUGAUUCAUCUCCAUGCCCUAGCAACCUGUCCACCCCGGCCGGCUCACACCGGUUUACAUUUAUUAAUGUGGUCCACUGAGGAGCAGACCUGUCAGGUUUGUUCUGAAGAACCUUUAGAAUCAGGCAGCUUUGAAGGUCAGUGA